GCCUGCUACAGCAGCACUGGUUUUGCUGGAAAAAUCAUCAUUUAGCUAGAGUCAGACAUGUAUCCUAAAUAUAACUCAGGGACCUCUGGGACUCUGGGCUUUGGCACUGUUGUUUGUAGCUACCAAAGGCAGAAAAAAAUAGAACCAACUUACAAUAUGUAGUUCUGGCCCUCAAAAUGUGAAGUCAGUUACAUUUGUCUUUGGUUACCCUCCCAUCUCCCCUUUCAUUUCUUCAACAAACAUUUCUUUGAGGACCCACCAUCUUCCAGAAGCUGUGCUAACCCUGGGACCUCCAAGGAAGAGAGGCAAGACUUUCGAUCUGGAGUAGAGACAAUGAAGAUACUAACUCACUCCUCACAAAUGACGUGACAACAGUAGCUCUCACCUAUUCAGCAUUUGGGAGACAUCACUCUAUCCACGGAAAGAUGCUACAAUCAAAAGAAGAGGAUCAUCCUGGAGAUCGGGAGGAAUUCUCC
This is a long non-coding RNA of Manis javanica (Malayan pangolin), 476 nucleotides long. RefSeq lists it as uncharacterized. The record is from RefSeq and is a predicted model, not a curated record. Lineage: Eukaryota; Metazoa; Chordata; Mammalia; Pholidota; Manidae.